This is a long non-coding RNA of Salvia miltiorrhiza (redroot sage), 725 nucleotides long. RefSeq lists it as uncharacterized. The record is from RefSeq and is a predicted model, not a curated record. NCBI's taxonomy places the organism in Eukaryota, Viridiplantae, Streptophyta, Magnoliopsida, Lamiales, Lamiaceae. The transcript is spliced from 2 exons.
CUUUAUUUAUUUAAUUAUUUUGGGCACUCCAUAUUUUAAUUAAUUAGACUUCUUUGAGUUUGAUUAAUUAUUUUCAAAGACUAGUUUUCAUAAUAAUAUUAAAUUAUUAUUAUGUGCAUAUUUUAAGUAAUUACUUAGUAUAUGUUAAGCAUGACAUGAAAUUGCAUUUAUUUUGCAAUAAAAGUAUUUAUGAUUUAAUUGGUUUUAAUUAUAAUUCCAAUUUUUAAAGAAAAUCGAGUAAGGAUAUUGUUGGUGUCCUUAACUCAAGAAAUUUAGUUUUCAAUUAUUUAUUCAUUAAAUUUUUGAAAACCCGGCUAAGUGAAUCAUAGAAUAUUAAGCACUACACCAUGACUUAAGAUUAGCUUCACGAGACCUAUUAAGAAUAGAAUUUCUUGUAGGCUUUGUGACCAGGGGGAUUAGCGCUGCUUUCCCAAGACAGGUUUAUAUGUGAUUAUGAUCUUCAGGCUUUGCCUAACCAGGUUGGCUGGCUGGUGCUGACGGGACGGAGCUGAGGCUAGAGUUAAAAUUCAUAUGUUAGACUUCCGCUGUAGCAAUUACUCUUAUACAUCUUUUGUUUUCUCAACUUAAGAUGACUUCAUUUGAACUUCAAUUUGAAAUUCUAGUUUUAUGCUAAUAAAUGUCGGUUGUCAGAAGCAUGAAACAAAACUUGUGAUCCAAAGGGGCAUAGCCCGACUUUCUAUCCUAUUUCGGGUUUUUAUAAGGUA